GGGAGGACGGACGGGGUCAGGUCCCAUCAUGGCGGCUGAAGAGGCGGAUGUGGAUAUCGAAGGGGACGUGGUAGCGGCGGCGGGGGCACAGCCAGGAAGUGGUGAAAACACAGCAUCAGUUUUACAAAAAGAUCACUAUCUUGAUUCAUCUUGGAGAACAGAGAAUGGCCUUAUUCCUUGGACCUUGGAUAACACCAUCAGUGAAGAGAACAGAGCUGUUAUUGAGAAAAUGUUGUUGGAAGAAGAAUAUUAUUUAUCUAAAAAAUCACUACCGGAAAAAGUCUGGCUUGAUCAAAAGGAAGAUGAUAAAAAAUACAUGAAGAGGCUAAAUUUGGCCGAAGAUGGACCAAAAUUUCAAAGCUAAUUGGAAGCCGCACUGUUUUACAAGUGAAGAGUUAUGCAAGACAGUAUUUUAAAAAUAAGGUCAAAUGCGGUCUGGAUAAAGAAACACCAAAUCAGAAGACUGGCCAUAAUCUUCAAGUUAAAAAUGAAGAUAAAGGGACAAAGGCAUGGACACCAUCAUGUUUAAGGGGACGUGCUGAUCCCAACUUGAAUGCUGU
RNAcentral lists this small RNA (560 nucleotides) under Pan troglodytes (chimpanzee). RNAcentral's name for it is "processed transcript". Lineage: Eukaryota; Metazoa; Chordata; Mammalia; Primates; Hominidae. The record is from RNAcentral.